ANUCGGUUCUUGACGUUGUGAGAAAGGAGGCCGAGAACUGUGAGUCUCUGAUAGUCUGACUGCCUCCAAGGUGAAGUUACCCUUUGUCCUUGCAUUUGCCAUUUUUAUAUUUUCAUAUGUAUGUCUGUUGAAAGUGUUAUACAUGAUACAGAUAUGCUAUAAGUUGGAUCUCGUGACUUUUUUUUUUUUGUUGGUCAUUUACAUUUAUUUGCUAGUAUUUGGGAAAAUCAGCCUUUGUGUGCAUUUAUGUUUGCAAUUGGGACACAAGGUAGAGGGUAAAAGACGGAGGUGGUGGGUUUCUUGAGGUUGGUUUUGUUCUCCAAAAUAAAUUAUUACACUGUGAGCUGAUAAAGAAUCGGCACAUUUUAAUCAAAUAUUCAUAAUUUUUUGAUCCUAUUACGUGAAUCCUUUGCUUUUACAAAUUUGUAAAUCUACUUACUUUCUCUUUUCAACUGGUAAGGAUGAAAUGAAAAUAAUAAGUAAAUUAAUGAGCUUUUGAACAUCUAGAAUGUUUGAAAUAGUCCUCAUGAGCCAAUUGUGCAUCUUCAGUUGUGGUGCAGUGGUGCAAUUCAUGCUUUUUAUCAGAGUGAAAACAUUGAUUAAAAAUAUCAAAGCGAGUCACUACUUUUGAGUUUAAGGAACAGAUAACUGAAGAAAUGUUGGCAGAGAUGACUUUUAGAAUCUUUUAAACGAACUUCUUCUAGACACAUGUUAUUUGAGUCCAAUCCUUUACUUCAUCAAUUGUUUAACAGAUGAUCAGUUUAACUUCUAGACAACAGAGAGUAUAUUUGCACAUAGAGAGUAUAUUUGCACAUAGUUUAUUUGCACAUAGUUUAACUUCUAGACACAUUGUUUAACAGAUGAUCAGUUGUUUCAAUUUGUUUGGGGACUUUUAGUUUUUGUUUAAUAUUCUUGUUGUAUUCACUACUUAAUUAACUUAUUAUUUCCAGUCAAUGAUAACCAAAAAUAUUGCCAUCCAUCAUUCUAUUGGAGUCAGAGACACAUUAAUUCUAGUGUGAUUAUCAAGUAAGAUCAAUUUCGUCAAUGGCUAUCACCAACUUCAAGAACAGUUUUUCGAAUUUUCAUCAGAAACUUUCUAUUUUGUAAUAACUAUAACCUAAGAAAUAUUUUCAUCACUGAUGAAAUUUUCUGCCAGUUAUGUCAAGAGGUUUAAUAAUGUUAGUUUUCUCUGUCUUAGUUAACCUUUAGUUGUCUGUUUUUUCAGCUUUUCUAAAUGUUAAUUGAGUGGGGUAGUUUCUUAUGGAGGAUACACUUAGUGUUUCAUAGGUUGGGUUGUGUUGGAAAUGUCUGUUGUGAACUAUUAUUGUAGUUAAGAGUUUU
Molecule: long non-coding RNA, 1341 nt
Filed under: Olea europaea subsp. europaea
Lineage: Eukaryota; Viridiplantae; Streptophyta; Magnoliopsida; Lamiales; Oleaceae
Source: RNAcentral